Molecule: ribosomal RNA, 446 nt
Filed under: Clostridioides difficile
Lineage: Bacteria; Bacillati; Bacillota; Clostridia; Peptostreptococcales; Peptostreptococcaceae
Description: bacterial LSU rRNA
Rfam family: Bacterial large subunit ribosomal RNA
Source: RNAcentral
CCGGGGAAGAUGCCGGAGACCUGCGACAGUACGGAAAGAGACUAUGGAGCUUUACUGUAGCGUGACAGUGGGGCUUGGUACUACAUGGACAGGAUAGGUGGGAGGCUUGGAAACCAGGACGCCAGGUUUGGCCGGGCCAUCCUUGGGAUACCACCCUUGUAGUACGUGGACUCUAACCAUUGGCUAUGAAUGUGGGCUUGGGACACUUUCGGGUGGGGAGAGGGACUGGGGCGGUAGACUCCCAAAAGGUAACGGAGGCGGUCAAAGGUUCUCGCAGUAGGGUUGGAAAUCGUACUUAGAGUGUAAAGGCACAAGAGAGCUUGAUUGCAAGACAUACCGGUCGAGCAAGGAUGAAAAUCGGACUUAGUGAUACGGUGGUUCUGCGUGGAAGGGCCAUCGCCCAACGGAUAAAAGCUACCCUGGGGAUAACAGGCUGAUCUCCCCCA